RNAcentral lists this ribosomal RNA (397 nucleotides) under uncultured bacterium. RNAcentral describes it as "partial 16S ribosomal RNA". It matches the Rfam family "Bacterial small subunit ribosomal RNA", at positions 359 to 774 of the family's 1533-position model. The record is from RNAcentral.
GAUAAUGGACAAUGGGGGCAACCCUGACCCAGCCAUGCCGCGUGAGUGAUUAAUGCCUUAUGGUUGUAAAGCUCUUUCAGUGGGGAAGAUAAUGACGGUACCCACACAAGAACCCCCGGCUUACAUCGUGCCAGCAGCCGCGGUAAUACGAAGGGGGCUAGCGUUGUUCGGAUUUACUGGGCGUAAAGCGCACGUAGGCGGAUUGGUCAGUUAGGGGUGAAAUCCCGGAGCUCAACUCCGGAACUGCCUUUAAUACUGCCAGUCUAGAGUCCGAGAGAGGUGAGUGGAACUCCUAGUGUAGAGGUGGAAUUCGUAGAUAUUAGGAAGAACACCAGUGGCGAAGGCGGCUCACUGGCUCGGUACUGACGCUGAGGUGCGAAAGCGUGGGGAGCAAACA